GACGAACGCUGGCGGCGUGCUUAACACAUGCAAGUCGAACGGUAAGGCCCUUCGGGGUACACGAGUGGCGAACGGGUGAGUAACACGUGGGUGAUCUGCCCUGCACUUCGGGAUAAGCCUGGGAAACUGGGUCUAAUACCGGAUAGGACCACUGCCUGCAUGGGUGGUGGUGGAAAGCUUUUGCGGUGUGGGAUGGGCCCGCGGCCUAUCAGGUUGUUGGUGGGGUGAUGGCCUACCAAGGCGACGACGGGUAGCCGGCCUGAGAGGGUGACCGGCCACACUGGGAAUGAGUAACGACCCAGACUCCUACGGGAGGCAGCAGUGGGACAUAUUGCACAAUGGGCGCAAGCCUGCUGCAGCGACGCCGCGUGGGGGAUGACGGCCUUCGGGUUCUAAACCUCUUUCAGCACCGACGAAGCGCAAGUGACGGUAGGUGCAGAAGAAGGACCGGCCAACUACGUGCCAGCCGCCGCGGUAA
This 478-nucleotide ribosomal RNA is filed under the name uncultured bacterium. Its description in RNAcentral is "partial 16S ribosomal RNA". It matches the Rfam family "Bacterial small subunit ribosomal RNA", at positions 28 to 523 of the family's 1533-position model. The record is from RNAcentral.